This 253-nucleotide ribosomal RNA is filed under the name uncultured bacterium. RNAcentral describes it as "partial 16S ribosomal RNA". It matches the Rfam family "Bacterial small subunit ribosomal RNA", at positions 524 to 776 of the family's 1533-position model. The record is from RNAcentral.
UACAGAGGUCUCAAGCGUUGUUCGGAUUCAUUGGGCGUAAAGGGCGCGUAGGCGGCUGUUCAAGUCGGGGGUGAAAGCCUGUGGCUCAACCACAGAAUUGCCUUCGAUACUGGACGGCUGGAGACCGGAAGAGGUCAGUGGAACUGCGAGUGUAGAGGUGAAAUUCGUAGAUAUUCGCAAGAACACCAGUGGCGAAGGCGGCUGACUGGUCCGGUUCUGACGCUGAGGCGCGAAAGCGUGGGGAGCAAACAGG